RNAcentral lists this non-coding RNA (119 nucleotides) under Streptococcus orisratti. Its description in RNAcentral is "Glycine riboswitch". It matches the Rfam family "Glycine riboswitch aptamer", at positions 8 to 87 of the family's 94-position model. From Rfam's summary of the family: This family represents the bacterial glycine riboswitch. Glycine riboswitches usually consist of two metabolite-binding aptamers domains with similar structures in tandem. The aptamers cooperatively bind glycine to regulate the expression of downstream genes. Lineage: Bacteria; Bacillati; Bacillota; Bacilli; Lactobacillales; Streptococcaceae. The record is from RNAcentral.
ACGGACUUCUGGAGAGACCUUUUUGUCAUCCCAGUAUUGCUGCGAUGACAAAAAAGGCGCCGAAGGGGCAAGGGGGCUUUUAUUCCCACCCAAUCUCUCAGGCAAAAGGACAGAAGAUA